Molecule: ribosomal RNA, 453 nt
Filed under: uncultured bacterium
Lineage: Bacteria
Description: bacterial SSU rRNA
Rfam family: Bacterial small subunit ribosomal RNA
Source: RNAcentral
CCUAACACAUGCAAGUCGAACGGUAACAGGAAGCAGCUUGCUGCUUCGCUGACGAGUGGCGGACGGGUGAGUAAUGUCUGGGAAGCUGCCUGAUAGAGGGGGAUAACUACUGGAAACGGUAGCUAAUACCGCAUAAUGUCGCAAGACCAAAGAGGGGGACCUUCGGGCCUCUUGCCAUCGGAUGUGCCCAGAUGGGAUUAGCUUGUUGGUGGGGUAACGGCUCACCAAGGCGACGAUCCCUAGCUGGUCUGAGAGGAUGACCAGCCACACUGGAACUGAGACACGGUCCAGACUCCUACGGGAGGCAGCAGUGGGGAAUAUUGCACAAUGGGCGCAAGCCUGAUGCAGCCAUGCCGCGUGUAUGAAGAAGGCCUUCGGGUUGUAAAGUACUUUCAGCGGGGAGGAAGGGAGUAAAGUUAAUACCUUUGCUCAUUGACGUUACCCGCAGAAGAA